UACAGAGGGUGCAAGCGUUGCUCGGAAUUAUUGGGCGUAAAGGGUAGGUAGGUGGUCUCAUUUGUUGGGGGUGAAAGCCUUGGGCUUAACCCAAGAAGUGCCUUCGAAACGGUGAGACUGGAGUCCUGGAGAGGGUCGUGGAAUUCCCGGUGUAGCGGUGAAAUGCGUAGAGAUCGGGAGGAACACCAGAGGCGAAGGCGGCGACCUGGACAGGUACUGACACUCAACUACGAAAGCGUGGGGAGCAAACAGG
Molecule: ribosomal RNA, 253 nt
Filed under: uncultured bacterium
Lineage: Bacteria
Description: partial 16S ribosomal RNA
Rfam family: Bacterial small subunit ribosomal RNA
Source: RNAcentral